GCCCGUAGAGCGCCCUCAAUGCUAAAACCCAGCCUUUGCUAUUGUUAACUUAAUGGUGUCUGCUUCUCCGAGGAACAGCAAGAUGGUGAAGGCUGUUAGCCCUUGUCCCAGCAAUACCUGCGACUUGCACUGGAGAAAUCUAGUAUCACUCCAUGUGCAUUAAGUGUCAGAGCACGUAUAAUACAGCCCACAUAUUGAGGAUGGCUAAUUUAUCAUGCACUUGAU
Molecule: non-coding RNA, 225 nt
Organism: Meleagris gallopavo (turkey)
Lineage: Eukaryota; Metazoa; Chordata; Aves; Galliformes; Phasianidae
Source: RefSeq, a predicted model, not a curated record